UAUUACACGAACGCUGGCCGUCGUUUUAAGCAUGCAAGUCAAGGAGAAUGUUUUCUUCCGAAGGCAAGUAAACUGGCGAACGGGUGAGUAACACGCAGGUAACCUGCCCUGGAGAUUGGGAUAACUCCGCGAAAGCGGAGCUAAUAGCGAAUAAUGCAGCGGACCCUUAGGGGUAAUGUUGUUAAAGCGGGUUUCGGCUCGCACUUCAGGAUGGGCCUGCGUCCGAUUAGUUUGUUGGUAAGGUAAUGGCUUACCAAGGCGAAGAUCGGUAGCUGGUCUGAGAGGAUGAUCAGCCACACUGGAAUUGAGAUACGGUCCAGACUCCUAUGGGAGGCAGCAGUGGGGAAUUUUGCGCAAUGGGCGAAAGCCUGACGCAGCAACGCCGCGUGACCGAUGAAGCUCCUCGGAGUGUAAAGGUCUGUCGUGAGGGAAGAAAACCCCUGAAGUGAAUAAUUUUAGGGCUUGACGGUACCUCACAAGAAAGCACCGGCUAACUUCGUGCCAGCAGCCGCGGUAAUAMGAGGGGUGCUAGCGUUGUCCGGAAUCACUGGGCGUAAAGGGUGCGCAGGUGUCCUGGCAAGUUGUUUGUUAAAUAUAUCGGCUUAACCGAUAAGCUGCAGACAAAACUACCGGGAUAGAGUUUAGGAGAGGAAAGUAGAAUUUCUGGUGUAGCGGUGACAUGCGUAGAUAUCAGAAGAMCACCAAAUGCGAASGCWACUUUCUAGACUAAAACUGACACUGAGGCACGAAAGCGUGGGUAGCAACAGGAUUAGAUACCCUGGUAGUCCACGCUGUAAACGAUGAGUACUAGGUGUUGAGGGAAUCGACCCCUUCGGUACCGUAGCUAACGCGAUAAGUACUCCGCCUGGGGACUACGACCGCAAGGUUGAAACUCAAAGGAAUUGACGGGGACCCGCACAAGCGGUGGAACAUGUGGUUUAAUUCGAUGCAACGCGAAGAACCUUACCUGGGCUUGACAUGUACAGUGAAAGCUUUGUGAAAGCAGAGCCCUCUGCGAGCUUGCUCAAGGACACUGUCACAGGUGGUGCAUGGCUGUCGUCAGCUCGUGUCGUAAGAUGUUGGGUUAAGUCCCGCAACGAGCGCAACCCUUGUUCCUUAGUUGCCAGCACAUAAUGGUGGGGACUCUAAGGAGACUGCCUGGGAUACCAGGAGGAAGGUGGGGAUGAUGUCAAGUCAGUAUGUCCCUUAUGCCCAGGGCUACACACGUGUUACAAUGACCGGUACAAGGGUCGCCACCCGCGAGGGGGAGCUAAUCCAAAAACCGGUCUCAGUUCAGAUUGGAGUCUGCACUCGACUCAUGAAGGAGAAUCGCUAGUAAUCGUAGAUCAGCACGCUACGGUAAUACGUUCCCGGGUCUU
Molecule: ribosomal RNA, 1379 nt
Filed under: uncultured bacterium
Lineage: Bacteria
Description: bacterial SSU rRNA
Rfam family: Bacterial small subunit ribosomal RNA
Source: RNAcentral